GAUUUCUUCUACGACUUCCUCGAACAACGAACUCAGCCUACAUUCAAGAACCUCAUCAAUCAGACUUCGAAGAUAUCAUUUGCGCGUAUGGUUGAUGGACUGGACAAGCAUCGCGCCUCGCUGGUUUCGUCAGAAUCAAAUGUGACACCGAGGGGUUAUGGCUUCACGGCCAGCAAGGACGUCAUGAUGAAGAUAAGACUUUGGAACGGCGGUGGAUCCACU
This is a long non-coding RNA of Rhipicephalus microplus (southern cattle tick), 222 nucleotides long. Lineage: Eukaryota; Metazoa; Arthropoda; Arachnida; Ixodida; Ixodidae. The record is from RefSeq and is a predicted model, not a curated record.